CCUACGUGUGGCUGCAGUGAGGAAUAUUGGUCAAUGGGCGCGAGCCUGAACCAGCCAAGUAGCGUGAAGGAUGACUACCCUACGGGUUGUAAACUUCUUUUAUAAAGGAAUAAAGUGAGGCACGUGUGCCUUUUUGUAUGUACUUUAUGAAUAAGGAUCGGCUAACUCCGUGCCAGCAGCCGCGGUAAUACGGAGGAUCCGAGCGUUAUCCGGAUUUAUUGGGUUUAAAGGGAGCGUAGAUGGGUUGUUAAGUCAGUUGUGAAAGUUUGUGGCUCAACCGUAAAAUUGCAAUUGAUACUGGGAGUCUUGAGUACAGUAGAGGUAGGCGGAAUUCGUGGUGUAGCGGUGAAAUGCUUAGAUAUCACGAAGAACCCCGAUUGCGAAGGCAGCUUACUAAACUGUGACUGACAUUGAUGCUCGAAAGUGUGGGUAUCAAACAGGAUUAGAUACCCCAGUAGUC
RNAcentral lists this ribosomal RNA (460 nucleotides) under uncultured bacterium. RNAcentral describes it as "partial 16S ribosomal RNA". It matches the Rfam family "Bacterial small subunit ribosomal RNA", at positions 338 to 795 of the family's 1533-position model. The record is from RNAcentral.